RNAcentral lists this ribosomal RNA (300 nucleotides) under uncultured Campylobacter sp. RNAcentral's name for it is "bacterial SSU rRNA". The stretch from base 52 to 300 matches the Rfam family "Bacterial small subunit ribosomal RNA", at positions 547 to 795 of the family's 1533-position model. Lineage: Bacteria; Pseudomonadati; Campylobacterota; Epsilonproteobacteria; Campylobacterales; Campylobacteraceae. The record is from RNAcentral.
UGUAGUGUGGUGCCGGCGGACGAGGGAGUUGGAGGGGGUCUGGCGGUGUUCGGUGUUGUUGUGCGUGAAGGGUGCGUAGUCGGUUUGGUAAGUCUUUGGUGAAAUCUACAGGGUCAAUUGGUAGGCUGCACGGGGAACUGCCGGGCUUUGGUAUGGGAGCGGUGAGUGGAAUUCCUGGUGUAGCGGUGAAAUGCGUAGAUAUCAGGAGGAACACCUGUGGCGAAGGCGGCUCACUGGACCAUAACUGACGCUGAUGCACGAAAGCUAGGGGAGCAAACAGGAUUAGAUACCCGGGUAGUC